GCAGCUAAGUUGCCAGGCAACGCCCUGGCGCCUGCGGGGCGGGCGGGGUCGCUGCGCCUGGAGGAUGCGAGAGCUUCGGCCCAGGCCGCUUGCGCGCUGUGUCAGGAAGGCGCUUGGGGAAAAUGUCCGGCGCGGCGACCUGGGACAGGAAGUGAUGGAGCAGGGACUUAGUUUGCCCUUCAGUUCUUGCAUAAAAAGUUUUGACGUGAAUGUGAUUCGCUAACAGUCGGAAACUCUGGGCGGGGCGCGGUAGCUCACACCUGUGAUCCCCGCGCUUUGGGAGGCGGAGGCGGGCGGAGCUCUUGAGCCCAGCAGCUCGGACCAGCCUGGGCAGCAUGGCUAGACCCCAUCCCUACAAAAAUUACAAAAAGUAGUCGGGCAUGGUGGCGGGCUCCUGUGGUACCAUCUACUCCGUGGACUGAGGCGGGAGGAUCGCCUGAGCCUGGGAGGUCGAGGCCGCAGGGAGCCGAGCUCACUGCACUACAGGGGUGGACAGCGAGACGCUGCCAAAAGAAAAAAAAAGAAAGCAAAAGCAGGCCGGGCGCGGUGGCUCACGCCUGUAAUCCCAGCACUUUGGGAGGCCGAGGCCAGUGGAUUACCUGAAGUCGGGAGUUCGAGACCAGCCUGGGCAAUUUGGAGAAACCCCGUAUCUACUACAAAUACAAAAUUAGCCGGGCGUGAUGGUGCACGCCUGUUAUCCCAGCUACUCGGGAGGCUGAGGCCGGAGAAUUGCUUGAACCCGGGAGGCGGAGGUUGCAGUGAGCCGAGAUCGGGCCAUUGCACUCCAGGCCAGGGCAACAAGAGCGAAACUCCGUCUCAAAAAAAAAAAAAAGGCGAAACACAAUUCGGGUGGGAGGGGCAGUGUUCAGCGUUCUCGGUUGUCUGUUCCGCCCCCAAAGGCUUCCCUCCUUAGGUUUAACCUGCGCCCCCGCGCUCUGCAUCAGCGCCGCCCCCGACCCCGUGCAGCUGGAAACACUGGGCGCCUCCCUGCUGGGCCCCUUCUCUCCCCGGUGGUGGUGCAACCCUGCCUCUCCCGAGACAGCACUGCCUUCGUGCUGGACACAGUUCUACGGUGGAGCCUGGAGUGCCUGUAGCACAAAUCCCCGGAAUUGUUCCUAGGGUUGUCUCUGAAUUUUCAUCCAGUUGCCUACCAAGAUGUUGAAUGGACCCAGAGCCAAGGACGUGGUCUUUUAUCAGUGGCACCUGAGACUUUCUUCCCUGUGGACGCAAAUCCAUUAUUCAGCACCCUGGGCACAGCUACAGAUCUGAUCAGCUAUCCAUUCUCCAAACUAUCUCAUCCUCUGUCCCAUUUUCCUGUCUCUGUUGCCCACAAGGCAUAUACCUGAGAGUUUUCAAAUUCCUCAAAGAAAUUUAGAUAUUCUGUAGCUUUGGCAUUCACCUAAUGUGUUAAUCUACAAACCUUUCCUACAAUGUGGAUUUUUUUUUCAUGAUGUAGUGAAUUCAAGUGGUUUCUAGUGUUCUCUUCAUAAAGUUGUAAACCAAAAAUAAAAUUCUAAGGCCCCACCCCA
Molecule: long non-coding RNA, 1529 nt
Organism: Symphalangus syndactylus (siamang)
Lineage: Eukaryota; Metazoa; Chordata; Mammalia; Primates; Hylobatidae
Source: RefSeq, a predicted model, not a curated record